RNAcentral lists this ribosomal RNA (732 nucleotides) under Triticum aestivum (bread wheat). Its description in RNAcentral is "partial small subunit ribosomal RNA". Lineage: Eukaryota; Viridiplantae; Streptophyta; Magnoliopsida; Poales; Poaceae. The record is from RNAcentral.
AUGGCCGCAGCUGCAGCACUAGCCAGUUCCACGAAAGAAGUGCUCCCGCCUGCACUGGGCGCCGUCUCCGAGCCCCCUACCCUCUUCGAUGGCACCACCAGACUGUACAUUUGCUACACCUGCCCGUUUGCUCAGCGCGCCUGGGUUACCCGGAACUGCAAGGGUCUGCAGGAGGAGAUCAAGCUUGUCGCCAUCAAUCUGGAGGACAAACCAGCAUGGUACAAGGAGAAUGUUUACCCACAGGGCACGGUGCCUUCCCUGGAGCACGACGGCAAGGUCACCGGAGAGAGCUUGGAUUUGAUCAAGUACAUCGACACCAAUUUCCAAGGCCCGGCACUGCUUCCUCAAGAUCCGGCUAAGAGGCAGUUCGCCGAUGAGCUGAUUGCUUACGCUGACGCCUUUACCAAAGCACUCUACUCGCCCUUGAUCUCCCAAGUGGCCAUUUCAGAUGAAGCUGUUGCUGCUCUAGACAAGAUCGAAGCUGCCCUGUCCAAGUUCAGUGACGGCCCGUUCUUCCUUGGCCAAUUUAGCUUGGUGGAUAUUGCGUACGUGACCAUCUUGGAGAGGGUUCAGAUAUACUACUCUCACCUGAGGAACUACGAGAUCGCCAAAGACAGGCCCAACCUUGAGAGAUACACCGAGGAGAUGAACAAGAUCGAAGCCUAUAAGCAAACCAAAAAUGUCCCGCUGACCUUGCUUGAUGCUGCCAAGAGGCAUCUCAAGAUUGCCUGA